This is a non-coding RNA of Nicotiana tabacum (common tobacco), 342 nucleotides long. The record is from RefSeq and is a predicted model, not a curated record. Lineage: Eukaryota; Viridiplantae; Streptophyta; Magnoliopsida; Solanales; Solanaceae.
UGAAAGGAGUUCUUAAUUGUCUCUUAGGUAGGUGGUCUAGGGGAUGUGGUGACAGGCCUUGGCAAGGCUCUGCAGAAGAAAGGACACCUUGUGGAAAUUGUUCUUCCUAAAUAUGAUUGUAUGCAGUAUGAGUCAAUUAAAGACAUGAAGGCCUUAGAUGUGGUUGUUGAGUCAUACUUUGAUGGUCGGUUAUACAAAAAUAAGAUCUGGACGGGCACUGUUGAAGGCCUUCCUGUCUAUUUCAUUGAGCCUCAGCAUCCUGGUAAAUUCUUUGGGAGAGGACAACUUUAUGGGGAGCACGAUGAUUUCAAACGAUUUUCAUUCUUUAGCAGGGUAGCACUU